GGAAGUAAAAGUCGUACAAGGUUUCCGUAGGUGAACCUGCGGAAGGAUCAUUAAUGAGUUGUCAUGGGGUUCGAUGCUGGCAGCCAAUUUUUGGAUGCAUGUGCUUGCCCUAACAAUCAUCUUCCAAACACCUGUGCACAUUUUUGAGGGAGUCUUGAGUUGGUUGCCGCUCUUGGGUGAUUUUCUCACAUUCCCUUAAAUCAUUAUACGCUAUUAACAAUGUUGAACGUGCUCUGUGCCGCAAGGCUAUUAAUAUAAUACAACUUUUAACAACGGAUCUCUUGGCUCUC
RNAcentral lists this unclassified non-coding RNA (290 nucleotides) under plant metagenome. Its description in RNAcentral is "partial contains small subunit ribosomal RNA, internal transcribed spacer 1, and 5.8S ribosomal RNA". The stretch from base 1 to 53 matches the Rfam family "Eukaryotic small subunit ribosomal RNA", at positions 1778 to 1831 of the family's 1831-position model. The record is from RNAcentral.